GACUUCCGGCGUAUCCUCCCGACCUCCGGCGGCGUCCGACUUCGCUCCCUGCUGUGCUCUCCUGGUCGUGCUUUCUCUGCCCCCGGCCUGCCCUGUUUUCUCGCUCACUGAAGCCGCAGCCCCAGCAUGAUCCAGUUCCUUUGGCAGAAUGAUUUGUGGGAAUUAAAAGAACUAACAUUGCUGAAUAUCUGCUGUGUGCCUGAUGCUUUCACAUGCCUUGUAAGCAUCGUCUGCGUCCUAGCGUCCAUGUCAACCAUUGUAGAUCAACACUGAUGGCUGGUGGUGACAGUCUGAAGUUCAAAAAGUAUGACAGUCUCUAGGUGCAUCCAUGGUGCUGCAAAUGGCCUUAUUUCGUUCUUUUUUACUGCCGGGUCGUAUAUUCCAUCGUGUAUAUGUGCCACAGCCUCUUCAUCCGUUCCUCUGUCCACGGACACUUAGUAGAUUUUUUAACUUACCGGACAUCAGUGUUGGGAAAGGUGGAACCGGACCCGGAACCAAGCCGGGCAGAGUGGCAGCCUGGAGAUGGCGCUGGCUGCCGAGGCUCUUUCUGUGGGGCUGCACAUGGAAGUGACAGUGCUCAAACAGCCGCUGCUCUAGCGAAGCUGCUCAUCCUAGGGGGUCGCGAACCGCUGCCCACCCCCCACCACUGGGACCAGCGUGCCAGAGAGGAAGGUCCUCUCCCCGCCGAGUGUCUCCACCCAAGCCGAGGACACUGCGCGGUGGGUGGGAAGCUAGUGCUGUGCUGAGGCCUGAGCCCCUGGCUGGCGUCCACCGCCCUCUGCACCGUGACCCAGGCGGCGUGAAGAAGGUUCUCCCUCCGGAGGAGAUGGAGCAGGUUUCCGUCAAGCCUGGCACGAAGACGUCUCUGACGACGGUGGUGAAGGAGACCUCCUACCUGAUGAUGAUGCAAGGCAUGUCCCACAUGCUGGCCCACCCGCUGCAUGUCAUCUCAGCGCGCUGCAUGGUCCAGUUCGUGGGAGGAAGGCCAAGUACAGCGGAAAGUUGAGCUCCAUUGGGAAGAUUUUCACAGAAGAGGGGCUGCUGGGAUUCUUUGUCGGCUUGAUCCCUUACCUCCUGGGAGGUGUGGUUUCCUUGCAGGGCUGUAACCUGCUGGCCUGCUUCCUCAGUGCCUACCUGGUGGGUGACACUCCAGGGGGGCUGGAGAACGACCAGAAUCCAGGUUCCCGGUUCAGCCAGGCCCUAGCCAUCCAGAGCCACCCCAGAUAUGUGAUGGGGAUGGCAGUGAGCGUACUGACCUACCCCUUCCUGCUGGUGGGCGGUCUCAUGGCUGUGAACACCUGCAGGCUGGGCCGCCGCCUCACUCCUCAGUGUUGGAAUCCGGAUCCGCUGCUGUAAGGACCCGAGUGUGCAGGGCCAGUUCUUCCGAAGCUCCAGCCUCCUUCUCUGCCGGGCGUCAUCAGGAUCAUACCUUGCCCUGGAGUAACCUGAAUCACCUAAAAAAGCACACUGUCUCGGCCAGGACACCGUGGGUGAGGCCUGACCAUCGUGGGACACGUGUAAGAUGACCAGCCCAGCAAGACCUAGAUGUGCUCCAGGCCAGCUGGACUUCAGUUUCCGUAGGUGCCAUGCGUCUGUCCAGAAGCAGGGGCUGGGUGGCAGUGAGACUGCGUCCAGUGCAUUGGUCACUGUUAGGCCUGGGGAAGGUGGGGCAGGAUCCCCUGGCUUUGCAGAUUUCCCGAGUCUGCCUCGUGCAGGGGGCCAGAGAAUGGCUCGUGGAGCCUGAGGUUGGAUGAGCAAAGGCUCGUGAGGUCAGAUCCCAGCUCCCAUUCACAGCCCUCAGGUCAGCCCCCCUCUUAUCCUGCAGCUCAGCUGGGAGCUUCGCUCUCCAGCUUUGUAAAUAGGGUGUGAUCCCUUUUCAGGAGCCACCGUCAUGUCCAGGCCUUUGCUAGGAGGUUGUCUUCGUUUUUCUCAACACUGCUUUUCUGAUAAGGCAGCACCUUCUGAAUGGAAACCGUGUGACUGCUCAGAAUGUGUCCCCCUUGUCAAAUGCUCGUCGGUUUCAUGAUGACGCCUCACGUGCAGGAUAUGGUUACUUGUGUGGCUGUGAACACCCAGAUGUUAGGUAGAUCAGUGUCUCUAGUCCUAUCCAGUUGGAAGUUCCUAAUAAGAUUUGACCCUUUUCCCCUCAAAUAAAUGCAUUGGUGGUGAUUUCGAAGAAAGUAAAAUAAAGUUGCCAGGUCUUUUAACACCAUUUAUGAGAAACGUAAAUGGUAACAGACCCAGAUUGUGGGACUGCAUGGGCUAAAAGAAAUGCCUUUAUAAUUUAGUAAGGCAAAUAUUAUUGUUUAAAAUUAUUUGUAUAUUAUAAAAUUUAUAGUAUUUAAUUUUUAAACAGCUGAUUUUUUUAAGUCUCUACAUAUCUUUUAGUGGAAGAUAAUCAAUUACCAUUAAACUGAAAUUUUAAAUAAGCAC
Molecule: long non-coding RNA, 2433 nt
Filed under: Phocoena sinus (vaquita)
Lineage: Eukaryota; Metazoa; Chordata; Mammalia; Artiodactyla; Phocoenidae
Description: lncRNA (ENSPSNG00000003795.1)
Source: RNAcentral